This is an RNA transcript of Nomascus leucogenys (northern white-cheeked gibbon), 956 nucleotides long. It is a transcript of the gene named acidic leucine-rich nuclear phosphoprotein 32 family member B pseudogene, with no coding region annotated. The record is from RefSeq and is a predicted model, not a curated record. The transcript is spliced from 2 exons. Lineage: Eukaryota; Metazoa; Chordata; Mammalia; Primates; Hylobatidae.
AUGCAUUCUCCCUUGGAUGGUUUGGGGCGGGCCUCAGCUAGGCUCUGCUGGCGGGCCGUGCAACCUCUGGCCUCGCUAGAGUACCGUUGCGGCCCUCGUGCGGCGCAGCUGCGUGUGCGCUGGUCCGGCCUGGAGGAAUCGCCCCUUUGGUCUCCCGGGUUUAGCGCGACUGCCCGCCACCGCAAGCCCCCCCCCCCGCCGCCCCGCGGACUGGCGCGGGGCCAAGUGGCGCUGCGGGUGGACGCCCCCGCGGAGUGUUCAAAGACGGUUCGAGAACAUGUCUCGGACAACUGCAGAUCAAAUGACUGGAAAAUUGAGAGCUUAACAGCUGAAUUUGUGAACUUAAGAGUUCCUCCGUUUAAUAAAUGUAGGUUUGAUUUCAAUUUCAAAUCUCCCCAAGCUGCCUAAAUUGAAAAAGUUUGUACUCCGUGAAAAUAGAUUCUUUGGAGGUCUGAAUAUGUUUGCAGAAAAACUUCCAAAUCUCAUACAUUUAAACUUAAGUGGAAAAAAACUGAAAGAUAUCAGCAUCUUGGAACCUUUGAGAAAGUUAGAAUGUCUAAAAAGCCUGGACCUCUUUAACUGUGAGGUUAUUAACCUGAAUGACUACCAAGAGAGUGGCUUCAAGCUCCUGCCCCAGCUGACCUACUUGGAUACCUAUGACCCAGAGGACCAGGAAGCCCCUGACUCAGAUGCCCAGGUGGAUGGUGUGGAUAAAGAGGAGGAGGAUGAAGAAGGAGAAGAUGAGAAAGAGGAGGAGAAUGAGGAUGGUGAAGAAGAGGAGUUGGAUGAAGAGGAAGAUGAAGACGAAGCUGUAGAAGGGGAUGAUGACAAAGAUGAAGUCAGUGAGGAGGAAGAAGAAUUUGGACUUGAUGAAGAUAGAUGAGGAUGAAGAGGAGGAAGAAAUCGGAAAAGGUGAAAACAGGAAGAGAGAAACAGAUGAUGAAGACGAUGGUUAA